AAAACACAAAAAGCGCCAGGACUUGAAUCGGAUCGGAAAAUUCAGGAUUCAAGUUGACGAGGAACAGGGUUUAUCGAAAAUUCGGCGGAUGCCCUGCGGACUUCACCAACGUUAAACGUCCUACAAAGACUCCGAGUGAUUGGAGGGACAAAUGGGACUGGGUGAAAAAA
Regulatory RNA element from Geosporobacter ferrireducens, 170 nucleotides. It matches the Rfam family "glmS glucosamine-6-phosphate activated ribozyme aptamer". From Rfam's summary of the family: This entry contains a glucosamine-6-phosphate activated ribozyme that is found in the mRNA for GlmS. The record is from Rfam. Lineage: Bacteria; Bacillati; Bacillota; Clostridia; Peptostreptococcales; Thermotaleaceae.